CUCUAGCUGACGAGUCCCAGAUAGGAUGAAACGUGCGUCCUGGAU
Molecule: non-coding RNA, 45 nt
Organism: Schistosoma curassoni
Lineage: Eukaryota; Metazoa; Platyhelminthes; Trematoda; Strigeidida; Schistosomatidae
Source: Rfam